GGGUGUUUAGCUCAGUUGGUAGAGCAUUUCGUUUACACCGAAAAUGUCAGCGGUUCGACUCCGUUAACACCUA
This is a non-coding RNA of Ostreococcus tauri, 73 nucleotides long. Lineage: Eukaryota; Viridiplantae; Chlorophyta; Mamiellophyceae; Mamiellales; Bathycoccaceae. The record is from Rfam.